RNAcentral lists this ribosomal RNA (961 nucleotides) under Frigoribacterium sp. RNAcentral describes it as "bacterial SSU rRNA". It matches the Rfam family "Bacterial small subunit ribosomal RNA", at positions 56 to 1034 of the family's 1533-position model. The record is from RNAcentral. Lineage: Bacteria; Bacillati; Actinomycetota; Actinomycetes; Micrococcales; Microbacteriaceae.
UGCAGUCGACGAUGAGCUCCAGCUUGCUGGGGGGAUUAGUGGCGAACGGGUGAGUAACACGUGAGUAACCUGCCCUUGACUCUGGGAUAAGCGCUGGAAACGGCGUCUAAUACCGGAUACGAGCUUCAGCCGCAUGGCUAGGAGUUGGAAAGAAUUUUGGUCAAGGAUGGACUCGCGGCCUAUCAGCUAGUUGGUGAGGUAAUGGCUCACCAAGGCGACGACGGGUAGCCGGCCUGAGAGGGUGACCGGCCACACUGGGACUGAGACACGGCCCAGACUCCUACGGGAGGCAGCAGUGGGGAAUAUUGCACAAUGGGCGCAAGCCUGAUGCAGCAACGCCGCGUGAGGGACGACGGCCUUCGGGUUGUAAACCUCUUUUAGUAGGGAAGAAGCGAAAGUGACGGUACCUGCAGAAAAAGCACCGGCUAACUACGUGCCAGCAGCCGCGGUAAUACGUAGGGUGCAAGCGUUGUCCGGAAUUAUUGGGCGUAAAGAGCUCGUAGGCGGUUUGUCGCGUCUGCUGUGAAAUCUGGGGGCUCAACCCCCAGCCUGCAGUGGGUACGGGCAGACUAGAGUGCGGUAGGGGAGAUUGGAAUUCCUGGUGUAGCGGUGGAAUGCGCAGAUAUCAGGAGGAACACCGAUGGCGAAGGCAGAUCUCUGGGCCGUAACUGACGCUGAGGAGCGAAAGCGUGGGGAGCGAACAGGAUUAGAUACCCUGGUAGUCCACGCCGUAAACGUUGGGAACUAGAUGUGGGGACCAUUCCACGGUCUCCGUGUCGCAGCUAACGCAUUAAGUUCCCCGCCUGGGGAGUACGGCCGCAAGGCUAAAACUCAAAGGAAUUGACGGGGGGCCCGCACAAGCGGCGGAGCAUGCGGAUUAAUUCGAUGCAACGCGAGAACCUUACCAAGGCUUGACAUAUACCGGAAACGGCCAGAGAUGGCCGCCCGCAAGGUCGGUAUA